GUCCACGCCCUAAACGAUGACAACUAGUUGUUGGGGAUUUAACAUCCUUAGUAACGUAGCUAACGCGUGAAGUUGUCCGCCUGGGGAGUACGGUCGCAAGAUUAAAACUCAAAGGAAUUGACGGGGCCCGCACAAGCGGUGGAUGAUGUGGUUUAAUUCGAUGCAACGCGUAAAACCUUACCUACCCUUGACAUGCCAGGAAGUCCGAUGAGAGUUGGAUGUGCCCGAAAGGGAACCUGGACACAGGUGCUGCAUGGCUGUCGU
Molecule: ribosomal RNA, 264 nt
Filed under: uncultured bacterium
Lineage: Bacteria
Description: partial 16S ribosomal RNA
Rfam family: Bacterial small subunit ribosomal RNA
Source: RNAcentral